GAUCAUGGCUCAGGACGAACGCUGGCGGCGUGCUUAACACAUGCAAGUCGAGCGGAGAAUAUAGCAAUAUAUCUUAGCGGCGGACGGGUGAGUAACGCGUGGGCAAUCUGCCUCAUACAGGGGGAUAACACUGGGAAACUAGUGCCAAUACCGCAUAAAAUAGUGAAGUGGCAUCACUUUACUAUCAAAGGAGCAAUCCGGUGUGAGAUGAGCCCGCGUCCGAUUAGCUAGUUGGAGGGGUAACGGCCCACCAAGGCGACGAUCGGUAGCCGAACUGAGAGGUUGAUCGGCCACAUUGGGACUGAGACACGGCCCAGACUCCUACGGGAGGCAGCAGUGGGGAAUAUUGCGCAAGUUACGGGGGGAAACCCUGACGCAGCAACGCCGCGUGAAGGAUGAAGGUUUUCGGAUUGUAAACUUCUUUGAUUGGGGACGAUAAUGACGGUACCCAAGAAACAAGCCACGGCUAACUACGUGCCAGCCGCAGC
RNAcentral lists this ribosomal RNA (488 nucleotides) under uncultured bacterium. Its description in RNAcentral is "bacterial SSU rRNA". It matches the Rfam family "Bacterial small subunit ribosomal RNA", at positions 15 to 518 of the family's 1533-position model. The record is from RNAcentral.